Molecule: ribosomal RNA, 433 nt
Filed under: uncultured bacterium
Lineage: Bacteria
Description: partial 16S ribosomal RNA
Rfam family: Bacterial small subunit ribosomal RNA
Source: RNAcentral
AGCGAACGCUGGCGGCAGGCCUAACACAUGCAAGUCGAACGAACUCUUCGUAGUUAGUUGCGGUCGCGUGUGUCACACGUGGGAACGUGCCUUUAUGUUCCGAAUUACUCAUGUUCACUUGUGCUAAUACCGAAUGUGCUCUUCGGGGAAAAGAUUUAUCGCCUUUAGAGCGGCCGGCGACCGUUUAGCUUGUUGGUGUGGUAAAGGCUGAUCACGGCGUCGCUCAGUAGCUGGUCUGAGAGGAUCAUCAGCCACAUUGGGACUGUGACGCGGCCCAAACUCCUACGCGAGGCAGCAGUGGGGAAUCUUGCGCAACGGGCGAAGGCCUGACGCAGCCAGGCUGCGUGAAUCAUGAUGGUCGGAGGAUAGUAAAAUUCUUUAACCGGGGACGAUAAUGACGGUACCCGAAGAAGAAGCCCCGGCUAACUUCGUG